Molecule: long non-coding RNA, 2836 nt
Organism: Acanthopagrus latus (yellowfin seabream)
Lineage: Eukaryota; Metazoa; Chordata; Actinopteri; Spariformes; Sparidae
Exons: 2
Source: RefSeq, a predicted model, not a curated record
AGCUUACAAAUACUGUAAGAUAGAAAAUGAUUUGAUAUUGAUAAAAGCCUUAACUUGGAAGUUAGUGGAAGUGGAAUCUGUAUUUUUGAUUUUGCGGUUUUGUAGUAAGCAUGAAUAAUUAAUUCAGUUAACAUGAUUUAAGUUGGAUUAAUAUAUAUGUGUAUAUAUGUGUAUAUAUAUACAUAGUAUUUCUCACACUUUUUUAUUUGAUACAGAAAACACUAACGAAAAACAGCUUGUGUGAUAUUAUCUGUGCAUUCGAAACUCAAAAAGCACUGGAAGAAGUUUUUUUUUUUUAAAAAAAAGAACAGCAUUAUUCGCAUUGACAAUCCUUUGACAGUCCUCUCAUAUCCAAAGUAAUGAACAAUAAUCAUUGUUUUCAUAUAAGUAUCCUGUCAAGAAUCACAUUGAAAUCAAGCUUUUCUCGAUGUCCUAAGAGAAAAUGCCUUAUUGUGAAGCCACCUUCCAUUGUCUUUGCCACGUACAUUGACUGGCCUUGAACUAUUUAUUGUAUCAUCAACCAAAUCCGAAUAGACUUUGCACGGGGAAGCACUUUGGACCUUCGGGAUCCUUCAUUAUUUGUUUAUCAGCUUUAUUCAAUUUACUUCUGGCAAGAAACAAGGUUCCCACCAAAUUCCACAGAGCUCUCCCUCACUUCCCUCAUUCCGUCGGAUUUCUCUCUCUCACUUCCCAGAAAAGAUGGGCUAUAUUUCAGUAAGUUUUUUUCUCAGUCUCAAUUUUUAUUCUCCACUUCAUUAAACUGUGAAAUGCUGUAUCUCAGCAACCAAAGUUUGGAGCAGUUCUGUAUGUUUUCAGGGUUACUGGAAUCUUGUUGGGACAUGAUUUCAUAUAAGGAAUAUGAAGCUGUUUCAUAAAGUUUAUGACCUGGCUUAGACUUAUCGCUGACCCGCUGAUAACAAAUAACAGGUCAACGUCCGAUAAUGCCAUGGCAGCGAAGAUUGUUGUGUUGAUUCUGGGUGUUUUUCAACUUUGGCUCUGGUAAUUUUCUCUUUUUCGAGAGUAACAGAGAGCGUAAUCCUUGGUUAAUGAGACUUUCAGUCACAAACAUCCUGACACUGAAUGGCAAAAAGCUGCCACGGUCUCUGUCUCCAUACAACUAGUGCUCUAUAUGAUGCAGCAAGACAAAAGGAAGAAGAAAAAAAACUUGUUAUAUUAAACAGACAGUGGUUGAAAUGUGUUUGUGUUGCUUUAAAUUUGAUAAAAAUCUUUUUACAUAAGACCAUUGUAACAUAGUUUUUAGGCAAAAUGUAUAAUCCCGCACCAUCAAAGCAAAACACAGUAAUGGUGAAACUUUGCUCUCCUCGAGACUCUUUUGGCAACACAGAUGAGAAGUGAGUUAUAUGUAUCAAAUUCCCACCAUCCACGCUGUUCACAUCCUCUCCGCUGACAUUAGCAACCCUAAGGGCUCAGUUGCCAAGCAGGUCACAGUGUGCUUCAAAUCACUCCCAGACGCCUCUUUCUCACAGACGCAGAUGAAAAACAGAAGGGGCCCCCUCCACUUCCCAGAGAACCCAAUAUUAGUAUGAUGGUGAAGUAAGCCUCCUUGUUCCUUACAGCGGAGAUGGAAAUUGAUUUAUUGGCAUAAGCAGCAGCAUGAGGUUAACAUGUUAAACCAAUGAAAACAAACAUGAAUUCCAUUAUGAACUGCUUCAAUGUAUAGUGGUAAAAUAAUAAUGUACAGACACUUCCUUUUCUGAUCUACACAAGUGUGCAAAACACUCCAGCUAAUGAAGUGCAAGUCAUAAUACACACAGCACUCACACACAUGCUAACACACAUUCAAACACACCUCAGGUUUACAUGUAUUCACAUGUCAAAAAGCAUAAGGCAGUAUAGUUGUUUGGUAGCUGAAUAUUAUUUCCACGUAAGAUGAAUAGUUUAAAUAGUUUGGGAAAAUGCAAUUUUUCAUUUUUCUGCUGAGAGUUAGGUGAGAAAAUAGAUAUGUCACUCAUGUCUGUCUAUUAAUGUGAAGCUACAGCUAGCAGAUGUUAGCUUAGCUUAGCAUUACGCUGUUAAAGAGGGUGAAGAUGCUAACUUGGCUCCGCUGAAGGUAAAAAAAAGUCUGCCUGCUAACACCUCUAAAGCUCAUCAAUUAAUAUGCUUAAUCUCGUUUUUCUGGGUAGCUACAAGCAACAGUUAGUUAGCUUAGCACAGCAUAAAGACUGGAAAAGUCUCACAGCAGUAUGUAAGGCAGGCUAAUGAAAAUGUUUAUAAUAUUUUGGGAUGUUGAUGGUUAGCUAGCCUAAAACCAGCAGCUGGUUAGCUUGGCAUAGCAGAAAGACUAACAACAAGGAGAAGCAGCUAGCUUGGCUCCACUGGAGAUAACAAAACCACCUGCAAGCACCGCCUGGUUAGCUUAGCAUAGCAUAAAGACUGGAAACAAGGGGGGAAACGGCCAGCUUGGCUCUGUUGGAGGGUAACAGAAUUUGCUUUAGCAACUCACCAGCUCAGUUUGUGGUUUUUGUUGGUUAGCUGCUUAAUGUAUAGAAUUUUUCCAGAACCUGUUAGCUACUAGCUGUAGCUAACCACAGCUACUAACCACUAAAAUAUACAAAUUGCCAUUUAUUUUGGUUUUUCGUAAGCUUUAAACAAACAAAACAUGAUGCUAAUUAGUCAGUUUUAGAAGUGCUGGCAGAUUUUGUCACUUUCAGACAAAGCCUGGCUAGUUGUUUCCCCUGUCCUAGCCUUUAUGUUAAUCUACACUAACCAUCGUGUGGUAUUAGUGUUCUCAUCUAACUCUUAGCAAGAAAACAAUUAAGCAUAUUUUCCAAAAUAUCAAACUAUGAAUAUUUUCGGAGUGUACUACCACCAUUAA